Molecule: long non-coding RNA, 1411 nt
Filed under: Macaca fascicularis (crab-eating macaque)
Lineage: Eukaryota; Metazoa; Chordata; Mammalia; Primates; Cercopithecidae
Description: lncRNA (ENSMFAG00000049574.1)
Source: RNAcentral
UUUUUUUUUGUUUUGCUUAUUUCACAAGUCUCAGAACCUCCAUCUGGAAUCAUUUUCCUUAAAACUGAAGUGAAUCAUUUAGAAUGUCUUUUGUUAUGGUUCAGCUGUGGCUAGUUCUGUCAGUUUGGGUACGUUUGUUAACAUUUUUGUUUCAUAUCCAUUCUUGAUAUAUAGUUUGAUGGAGUAUAGAGUUCUAAGUUGGCAGUUAUUUUUAUUCAUUAAAUUAAUUCCUCUGUCCUGGCUUACAUAAUUGCUGGUGAAAAGGUAGUUGUUCAUCAACUGCCUCUCUUUUAAUGAUGAUCUUUCUCUUUUUCUCUGUGGUUUUUAAGAUCUUCUCUUUGCCUUCUGUUGUCUAUAGUUUCUUUAUUAUGUAUCUUGGUAUGAAUACUUUUUGUUUUCUAAAUAGGAUUCACUUUUGGAAUAGUACUUUCUAUGGGUUUUGAUAUGCAUCUACCAUUGUCAUACCACAAAGAAUAGUUUAGAUGACCUAAACAUCCUCUGUACUUUACCUAUGCAUUCCUCCCUCCCCUCAACCUCUGGCAACCAUUAAUCUUUUAACUGUCUCCACAGUUUUGCCUUUCCAGAAUGUCAUGUAGUUCAAAUCACAUAGUAUGAAGCUUUUUGAGUUUGGCUUCUAUCACUUAGUAACACUCAUUUAAGGUUCCUUCUUGUGUUUUUAUAGCUUGAUAGCACAUUUUUCAUGUGAGAAGGAAUACUGUUUUAUUGAUUGAAUGUAUCACAGUUUAUUAUUGCUCACUUAUUGAAGGGCAGGUUGCUUCCAAAAUUUGGCAAUUAUUAAUAAAGAUUCUCUGAACAUCUGUGGAUCUUAUGUCCACCCGUGUGUACACAUAAGUUUUUAAUAUAUGCCUUUUCAAUGUUUCUAUUUAAAAUUAGGCUUCUUGGAGCUGUGAAUUGUUGUUUUUCAUCAAUUCUAGAAAAUUUUCAUUAUCUCUUCAAAUAUUGUCUCUGUUCCUAUUCUCCCUUUAUUUUCUUUCUAUGUCUGAUAAUUCCCAUAUCUGAAAUAUUUGGAUCAGUGCUGCUGAUUCUCACUCAUGGUAUCUGUACCUGUAUCCUCGGUGCUACUCACUGCCCUUAAAAAAAUUAUUUACAGGGGCUGCCCAAGCCUUUGUAUGAAGUUAUCUUCCUCAAAGAAGAUAUGGGUUUUUUUCCUGCCAGUCAUUUAGUAUACUAUCAGUCCCUAACAAGUUUAGACCAAAUCGAUGGUUGGAACUUUCUUGGAUUGCCCUGGUAAAAUCAUUUGUAUUUCUGUAUGGAAGCCAGUGCUUAACUUGUAACCUUCCUGGGAAAGAUUUUCCUUUUUUUCCCUUUAUACAUACCCUCUCUGUUCAGUGUUAAGGCAACGCUCCUGUUCCAUGGGAGAAUUAAGAGUAUAAUAGUGUUAAUUCAUGCA